GCCACGGUGGUCAAGCGGUUAGGACGCUGGCCUUGUAAUCCUGGGGUCUCGGGUUCGAUUCCCGGCGGUGCCC
This is a non-coding RNA of Zootermopsis nevadensis, 73 nucleotides long. NCBI's taxonomy places the organism in Eukaryota, Metazoa, Arthropoda, Insecta, Blattodea, Termopsidae. The record is from Rfam.